CCUUCCUUGUCUCUCAUUUUGCAAACCCUGCAUUUCCCGAAACCCUAGAAAUCUAAUUUCGAUUUCAAUUCAGUCAAAUUCCUGCAAUUGAUUCGUUGAUGAUGGCCCACGGAAAAGUCAGUCUCACUCAAGAACUCCUCCCCUCGCCUAUCUUCUCCGCCACCAAAGGUUUUUCUUCUCUUUAAUUUUAUUCCAUUCUUUGCUAGAUCUUUCUCUCUGUGGUGUUUUCGGUUCUUGUGCAUCCGCAGUUUUGAUUUGUUGAGUUCAUGUGAUGUUUGGAAGGCUGAAGAAAUUAAGGUUGAAGAAUCAGUUGUUUGGCUUCCAAUGAGAGUUGGAGUACAAGAAUAACGGCUCCACCAACACGGCGGUUAUGGAUUGGAUUCAUGGUUCCAGUUACUGAAUUGAUUUUAGCAACUUUCUAUUUAAACAAUCAACUUCCUGACUUCCUUGGGGGAGAUUGCUCAUAUGUCCAAAUGAAGGCUGGUGCUUAGGUCUAGCAAGGGACCCUUGAAUGGUUAAGAAAUUAUGAAAGUAUGAUUUUAGUGGAGUAUGUUGCUGUCACAAAUAUUGAUACUUGAGAUAUCAAUACUUUGAACUAAUAGGUGGA
Molecule: long non-coding RNA, 607 nt
Filed under: Rosa chinensis
Lineage: Eukaryota; Viridiplantae; Streptophyta; Magnoliopsida; Rosales; Rosaceae
Description: sRNA RchiOBHm_Chr5g0082671
Source: RNAcentral